ACGUCACCUGACCUAAUAAUUGUUCCCGACAUGGCCACCGGCUCAUCGAUAAUUGUAUGCUAUGCCUCCCUCUCCCCAAAUCCGACGACGAGCACUUCGCGCAAAGUUUCUGUGCAGCUUCGGCGGCACCAUUCUCCUCUGCUUACUUGGCAACUGCUCCGACGAUCAAUGGCGUGAUUUGAAUUCCUUCCGUCUCCCACAACGCUCGUACAGCACAUCCUUUUCCCUUCCAGAUGUUGUGAAGUUUGAGGACCUUUGCAAUAAUUUCUAAGUAUGAUUUCAUGAUGAGUUGAUGGAGAAAAUAUGGGGGAUUUGUUCUUCCAUUCGCUGAUGUUGAUAUUCAUUGCAUGUUUGGAACUUUCUACCCAUGGUGAGAUGCUUCGCUAAUUGCCUGUUAUGCUUUUCACAUUGCACAUCAUAGGGAAAAUGGAUUGUCGCAUUGCCUAAGAAAGAGAGAGGGAGAAAGAGGAAGAAGAAGAGGUAAAUUGCAAACAAAGCAGAGACAAAUAUGAUUGGGGAAAUUUCCGUUAUAGGCUAUUCGUACUUCAUACGCACCCUCAUAUUAGUUGCCCAACUCGCAUGCCAAAAGCUUUGCCAAACGAAUAGAAUCUUCUGCCCAGUUUCGUUUCUUAUAAAGCUUGUGGUUUCAAAAGCACAAGGUCUACAAAUUCAUUGUAAGCCAACCCUAACUGCAUCACUUCUUUUCUGUCCAAUAAAUCAUCAUCCGGAACAAAUGAUUUUAUGUACAAAUGGAGUUUAGGAAACCACUCUGUGAUGCAAACCAUUGUAUAAUUUGUUUCCUAAAAACAAAACCUAUCUUAAAGAAGCCCAACAAAACCACUAGUACAACAAUAGCUUUGUUUCUAUCUCAAUACACUGAACACAAGAAAACAAAGUCAAUCCAACCUCUAUUAAAGUAGUGGAUACUUUAAUAUCUGACCUUCAAGGAAUUCGUACUUUUAAGUUGUUUUAGGUUUUUUGUAACAUUGAGUUAGUUAGAAUUACAAAGGCAGGGUUUCAUCCUUGCAACCAUGUAACUAUGGAAAAUUUAGUGCUUUAAUUUCAUUGCUCUAGGUUAGCCUGAUCUUAUCUCUUACAUAUUUUACCAGUUUUUUAUACAGUUUUUAUUAGUUUCAUCUAUUGAUGCUUGUGAUAUGACUUUGGUUUGUUGGUUGGGAGCUUGGGGUACUUAUCAAGAUGUUUUGGGCUCGAGUCUUACGUAUGUGAUGUGUGUGUGAGUUUGUCUUAAUUGACCUAAAUAUCCCCCCAAAUGCGAUUUGAAGUUAGAUCAGCACCAUUUGCUUUCUUUAGACGACUCAAAAGAAUUGACAUGUAAUUUGAAUAUAUUUUAGUCAGAAAUAUUGAGAGUGGGCCUAGAGCAUUGGUUAAGGUGCCUCCAUCAAUACUUUGAGUUUAUGGUUCAAGUCAUUCUCUGCAAAGCUGUGUGUAUCAACCGUUUCCCAUAUUCUGGAUUAGCGAGGGCCUCAUGGAUUAGGUUACACUUUUUUCUAUUGUGCAGAAAUAUAAGAUAUUUGUUAGUUCCAUAUACACAAAAAGCUUCCUAUAUUGAAGAUAAUUAUAUCAUAAAAGAAAUAAGCUCUAAUCAAAGAAAAGGCUAUUUGAUUUAAAACUCACUAGGUAAUUGUUUGAAUUUUAAUCAGUGUGAUAUUGUAUUUGAUUCACUUUGGCUCUAUAAUAACUCACUCAAAAUUAGUUCAAUUCUAUUUCAAAUUGACUCAAUUUAUAUGAAAUAUCCAUUUAUAUGCAUAUUUUUUCUCUUUCUCACCAACAUGAGCGUGCACACAUAUGUACAUGCAAACAUCAAUGCAUGUUCUAUGUGCACAUGCGCACAUAUACUCUCUUUCUUUGUGCGUGUAUAUAUAUAUAUAUACAUACAUACAUACAUGGGCGGAGGGAGGGGGGCACGUGCCCCUUGCCCCUUGUAUCCCUGGGUAAAAAAUGAGAUAAGAUCCAAAAGACUCAAAGUAUUUCAAGUUCCUUAUAAUUUGUAUGUGCUAUCUUUCGUGAUAUUCAUUUAAAGAGAUUUGACAAAUAUCUUUCCAAUGAUAAAGAUGGUGCUUCUAGUUAGUAAAAUGUGGUCUUAAUUGGGCAAGACAACCCAAAUGAGAAUCACCAAAGACUCAUGAAAAACUAUUUUAAUGUGUUUUAACAUUUCAGAUGACAUGACAAACAUAACUAUUUUAAUUUAGGCCCCUACUCCGAGAAAGGUAGAGCUAGAAUUACUUUGAACUGAAUACAAAGUUUUAUCUGAUUGAUGCCAACUGAUCAACUCAAUACUGGCAAACCUUGUACACAGGAGAUACAGACAAUGUCAUAUCAAUAUUUUAUUUCCACUUUGGACUUGUGAACCAAGUCCCUUUCAUACACAAAUACAAAACUAUACUUGAUAUGUGAAUGUGACAAUAUUUUAGAUAACAGAAAUCUUAGCUAACACUGAACUUGGCCAUCUUUAUCAAGUAUCUUUCUGCAUGGAAGAAGUCAUGAAGAAAAACCUGCAGUUCAGCUACUUCAUGAUCAAGAUUGACUUACCCUGAUCUGUUGUUCUAGAACAGAAGCCUUGUCCUCAAUAAUUUUUUUUUUUUUUGGUAUUUUUAUUUAUCAUAUUUUUAUAGUACAUAUGAUAUCAUAUUUGGAAUGCUGUUGAUUUUUAUGAAAAAGAUGAUGCAACUGAUUACCAACUCACACAUAUAAUUUGGUCA
This is a long non-coding RNA of Dendrobium catenatum, 2720 nucleotides long. RefSeq lists it as uncharacterized. The record is from RefSeq and is a predicted model, not a curated record. The transcript is spliced from 3 exons. Lineage: Eukaryota; Viridiplantae; Streptophyta; Magnoliopsida; Asparagales; Orchidaceae.